GAACUGAUAACCCGAUAGGUGGAAUGAAGGGGUAACGCCCUGAAACGCCUACCCUGAGACUCCGGCUGGCGUCCAUAGCGAAAGCAUGUGGUGGUCAGAAGCCCGGCGAAGUCGGCAGAGAGAUACCGUAAUGAGAAGAUUGCUUCAUGCAGUCCCAACGAAAGCUGUCCAGAGGUGGAUGGUGUGUCCUAUAUGCCGGGGGUCUAUAAA
RNAcentral lists this non-coding RNA (210 nucleotides) under chicken gut metagenome. The record is from RNAcentral.